CAGACGGUUAUUAAAAUCGUUAAGUUUUUGUUCUAGGGUCACGAGUUUUUCAUCUAUUUGCUUGGCGAUAGUAUUUGCCACCUUAUCAGCGAUGAUUUUUAUGGAAUCCUCUGUUAAAAUUGAACUCAAGCUGCUACUUACAGCAUUUUUGAUUCUUCUUUUAUUUCUCGGGUAAUAACCAUUUUUCAUAUAGUUGGACUGUUUUUCAAGUCUUGACCUAUUUAACUUUUAUUUGGCCAAUUUUUAAACAAAGAACUUACUUUUGGUGAUUUUGCACACCACACAUCCCACACAUCACAGAUCCCAGAACGUUUAAUCAGAAGAACUCGAAGAUAUCAGUAGCGAGAGGUAGAUACCUAUGGAUUCUGAUAGGAAAAAUGCAGUCGUCAAAAACAUCCCCAGAAAAUGUUGGCAUCGUGGCUGUGACUAUCAAGGACAUGCAGUUGACCAUCGAAUGAAUUGUACAUUUAGGCUUGUUAUCUGCCCAAUGUUGUAUCAAACUGGUUGUACUUGGUGUGGAAAACUGAAGGAAGCAAGUAAACAUUGUUUUGAAGCACAUUCUAGUCUUGUAUUUUCGGGUCCACUGGAACUUGAGCUGUGUGAAUUUAGAUAUAUAGGAUUGAAUCCCUGUAAGAUAUUCUCCUAUCUUGCGUUCGAUAGGGUGUUCAGAUUUUCCAUGAAAUUCCAAGAACAAGAAAGAUUAUUCCUAACCGGUUGCUAUUAUUCUGGUGAACCAGCAGAGGAAGGUCGUUUUAGGUAUGAAAUGUCGUUCAUCAAAGGAAGCAGUCACGCCCUAGCUCCAAUAUUUGGUUCAGUGUGCUCUAAAAUGAAAUUCCCUUCUCGUAUUUUCGAUGAAACUUGUUAUUUAGGCAUAGAUUACUCAUCCUGGGAAGAAUUUUGCGAUAACGCUGGGUCAUUACAUAUAGGGAUAAAACUUUUUGAUAAUACUGAGGAAAACGAGUAAUCAUUUGUUGAUUUGUUAGGGUUGUCAUCGGCGUAAUUGGCAUAGAUUACAGUUUGAUAAAUAAUAAAAACAUAAUAAAGUUACGCUGAUUCAUAAAGUGUUUUAUUAAAGGAAUUGCUGUAGUGUUUCAGAGAAUUUUGUUCUUUUAUCCUUUUGGAAUUUGUAACUUAUUUCAGUGUUGACAAAUGAAAUAUAAUUUUUCGCACA
Long non-coding RNA from Leptinotarsa decemlineata (Colorado potato beetle), 1171 nucleotides. RefSeq lists it as uncharacterized. NCBI's taxonomy places the organism in Eukaryota, Metazoa, Arthropoda, Insecta, Coleoptera, Chrysomelidae. The record is from RefSeq and is a predicted model, not a curated record.